RNAcentral lists this ribosomal RNA (492 nucleotides) under uncultured bacterium. Its description in RNAcentral is "partial 16S ribosomal RNA". It matches the Rfam family "Bacterial small subunit ribosomal RNA", at positions 29 to 507 of the family's 1533-position model. The record is from RNAcentral.
AGUGAACGCUGGCGGUAGGCCUAACACAUGCAAGUCGAACGGCAGCACAGUAAGAGCUUGCUCUUACGGGUGGCGAGUGGCGGACGGGUGAGGAAUACAUCGGAAUCUACUUUUUCGUGGGGGAUAACGUAGGGGAACUUACGCUAAUACCGCAUACGACCUACGGGUGAAAGCAGGGGAUCUUCGGACCUUGCGCGAUUGAAUGAGCCGAUGUCGGAUUAGCUAGUUGGCGGGGUAAAGGCCCACCAAGGCGACGAUCCGUAGCUGGUCUGAGAGGAGGAUCAGCCACACUGGAACGGAGACACGGUCCAGACGCCUACGGGAGGCAGCAGUGGGGAAUAUUGGGCAAUGGGCGGAAGCCUGAUCCAGCCAUACCGCGUGGGUGACGAAGGCCUUCGGGUUGUAAAGCCCUUUUGUUGGGAAAGAAAAGCAGCAGGUUAAUACGCCGCUGUUCUGACGGUACCCAAAGAAUAAGCACCGGCUAACUACGUG